Molecule: long non-coding RNA, 212 nt
Filed under: Ananas comosus (pineapple)
Lineage: Eukaryota; Viridiplantae; Streptophyta; Magnoliopsida; Poales; Bromeliaceae
Description: long non-coding RNA (ACOM_LNC034089)
Source: RNAcentral
AAGAAAAAGGAAACUAAACAUUCACAAGUAAUAUGAUUCAUUUUAGAUCAUAUACAUUGCAUCCAUCUAAUAAUUUAUCGAAUUCUUACAUUCAUUACAUCAUUUCAUCAUUUCUUUCUUACAACACAAUUACCUCAAAAUAAGCUUUACAUUCUUUCUUUAUAUCACUAAUCAUCAAAUACAAAAGAUGAUCAUAAGGUACUUUACUACAA